GAGUUUGAUCUUGGCUCAGAUUGAACGCUGGCGGCAUGCCUUACACAUGCAAGUCGAACGGCAGCACGGGAGCUUGCUCCUGGUGGCGGGUGGCGAACGGGUGAGUAAUGCAUCGGAACGUAUCCUGGAGUGGGGGAUAACGUAGCGAAAGUUACGCUAAUACCGCAUAUUCUGUGAGCAGGAAAGCGGGGGACCUUCGGGCCUCGCGCUCUUGGAGCGGCCGAUGUCGGAUUAGCUAGUUGGUGAGGUAAAGGCUCACCAAGGCGACGAUCCGUAGCAGGUCUGAGAGGAUGAUCUGCCACACUGGAACUGAGACACGGUCCAGACUCCUACGGGAGGCAGCAGUGGGGAAUUUUGGACAAUGGGGGCAACCCUGAUCCAGCCAUGCCGCGUGAGUGAAGAAGGCC
RNAcentral lists this ribosomal RNA (407 nucleotides) under bacterium enrichment culture clone ALO1_GLFRUDD03G0YRP. RNAcentral's name for it is "bacterial SSU rRNA". It matches the Rfam family "Bacterial small subunit ribosomal RNA", at positions 9 to 416 of the family's 1533-position model. RNAcentral also lists the same sequence under 1 other name. The record is from RNAcentral.